RNAcentral lists this ribosomal RNA (96 nucleotides) under Streptomyces antibioticus. Its description in RNAcentral is "partial 16S ribosomal RNA". It matches the Rfam family "Bacterial small subunit ribosomal RNA", at positions 1 to 97 of the family's 1533-position model. Lineage: Bacteria; Bacillati; Actinomycetota; Actinomycetes; Kitasatosporales; Streptomycetaceae. RNAcentral also lists the same sequence under 2 other names. The record is from RNAcentral.
CAUUCACGGAGAGUUUGAUCCUGGCUCAGGACGAACGCUGGCGGCGUGCUUAACACAUGCAAGUCGAACGAUGAACCACUUCGGUGGGGAUUAGUG